AGCUCCAAUAGCGUAUAUUAAAGUUGUUGUGGUUAAAAAGCUCGUAGUUGGAUCUCAACAGCCUUGAAGCGGUUAACUUUGUAGUUUUACUGCUUUAUAGGCUGUGCUUUUGCUGGAGGUUUAGGGGUGCUCUUGAUCGAGUGUCUCUGGAUGCCAGCAGGUUUACUUUGAAAAAAUUAGAGUGCUCAAAGCAGGCUAAAAUGCCUGAAUAUUCGUGCAUGGAAUAAUAGAAUAGGAUGUCAUUUCUAUUUUGUUGGUUUUUAAGUUUUGACUUAAUGAUUAAUAGGGACAAACGGGGGCAUUUGUAUUCAGACGACAGAGGUGAAAUUCUUGGACCGUCGGAAGACAAACUACUGCGAAAGCAUUUGCCAAGAGUGUUUUCAUUAAUCAAGAACGAAAG
RNAcentral lists this ribosomal RNA (400 nucleotides) under phytoplankton environmental sample. RNAcentral's name for it is "partial small subunit ribosomal RNA". It matches the Rfam family "Eukaryotic small subunit ribosomal RNA", at positions 587 to 989 of the family's 1831-position model. The record is from RNAcentral.